UACGGGGGGGGCAAGCGUUGUUCGGAAUUACUGGGCGUAAAGGGCGCGUAGGCGGCCUGCUAAGUCGGAUGUGAAAUCCCUCGGCUCAACCGAGGAACUGCAUCCGAUACUGGCGGGCUUGAAUCCGGGAGAGGGAUGUGGAAUUCCAGGUGUAGCGGUGAAAUGCGUAGAUAUCUGGAGGAACACCGAUGGCGAAGGCAAUCCCCUGGGCCUGCACUGACGCUCAUGCACGAAAGCGUGGGGAGCAAACAGG
RNAcentral lists this ribosomal RNA (253 nucleotides) under uncultured bacterium. Its description in RNAcentral is "partial 16S ribosomal RNA". It matches the Rfam family "Bacterial small subunit ribosomal RNA", at positions 524 to 776 of the family's 1533-position model. The record is from RNAcentral.